Long non-coding RNA from Ostrinia nubilalis (European corn borer), 861 nucleotides. RefSeq lists it as uncharacterized. The record is from RefSeq and is a predicted model, not a curated record. NCBI's taxonomy places the organism in Eukaryota, Metazoa, Arthropoda, Insecta, Lepidoptera, Crambidae. The transcript has 4 exons.
CAAUUAUUUUCAUACAUUUUCAGGUACAAGAUGAUGCUGGUGACCUCCAUGGCCUAAGUCAGCCGACAGUGAGCCGGAUAUGCGCCAGAGUCGCGCAUGCAAUCGCGAAUAAGGCAAAUUCCUUCAUCAAAAUGCCUAUCACUAUAGGAGAGCAGGAAAGAAUUAGUGCCAAAUUUAGAGCAAUUAAAAAUUUUCCUGGGGUGAUAGGAGCCAUAGAUUGCACCCACAUUAAAAUUAAAAAAACCGGAGGUGACAUGGCCCAGUACUAUAUUAAUAGAAAAGGCUAUUAUUCCCUGAAUGUUCAGGUUGUCUGUGAUGCUGACCUCAAAAUAAUGGAUAUAGUGGCUAGAUGGCGAGGCAGUACACAUGACAGUCGAAUUUUUAUGGAGAGCAAUAUAAAACAACGAUUUGAGGAUAGGCAGUUUAGAGGACGCCUUAUUGGCGAUUCGGGCUACCCUCUUCUGCCAUAUCUAUUUACACCUAUUUUAAGGCCUAGUCGUCCAGAAGAAGAAGCAUACAAUAAUGCUCACAUCUCAACUAGGAACACUGUUGAAAGGUGUUUUGGGGUGUGGAAGCAGCGGUUCCAAUGCCUACUCCAUGGCUUACCAGUAAGCCUCCAAAAUGGAAAAGCUGUGAUCAUAGCAUUGGCUGUAUUACAUAAUAUAGCCAUUGAUAUGAAUGACACAUUGUUAGAACAACAUAUGGAGCAGGUCCCUGUAACUCCGCAACUUUCGACGGAGAACAGUGUUCACGACAACCGACCUUCAUUGUUGAGGCGUAGGUCGCAGUUGAUACUACAAAAUUUUAUAAAUCAACAUUUUUGAAUGAUACUGUUCCUGGCAUCUUAAUGAAAAUAAAAAG